RNAcentral lists this long non-coding RNA (1102 nucleotides) under Equus asinus (donkey). RNAcentral describes it as "lncRNA (ENSEASG00005034367.1)". The record is from RNAcentral. Lineage: Eukaryota; Metazoa; Chordata; Mammalia; Perissodactyla; Equidae.
GAUUUCACUAGGUGAGAAGUGGGAUUGGAUUUCAGUAGAAAAAAAUCCCGAGGGAACCAUUAGCGGAAACUAAGAAUGGGGAUGUAUUCCCCUCUAAAUGCAGUAGAGAAGAGUCAGGAGAGCUAGAGAGAGGCAGGCGCAAAAAAAAAAAGUUCUGGGUGGAUCUGCCAGUUCAUGGCCGCCUCACCUGCGUUUCAAUCAUUGUCUCUGUGAACCAGCCCCUCUCGGGUUUCCUGCCGGAAAAAUAUUUGGCAAGUUUCGCUUGAAUUUAUACAGGACACACUUUUGAACAUGUAAACAAUAUACAAGGCCAACUUGUUUUGGGAGCUACGAAUGACAAAAGUCUCGAAAUCCAAAUCUGUGCCAAGUUAGUUUUGCCCUUAAAAAAAAAGUGCUUAUGAAAUACUUGAAUCUCUUCAGUUAGCACAAAUACAAUGAGUGACCUAAAAGUUCAAGUAAUGGCCCAGAGUGAGGGGAAGUGUAUGUAAUGUUGACUCCGGUUUACAGAAAGUGAAUCUGAGUCAUGACAAGAUCCUGAAAUUCUGCACGAUCUCAUUCUGCCUGUAAAUGCCCUGGACUCAAUGGUAAGCAAACGUGAACUCUGGCCAGGCAGGCAGAAGCACUUUGUUUUCCAUUGUGUGGCGACACCAGCCGCCCAUUGCUUCUGACAAAGGCCUUCGUCAAGCCGGUGUGUCAUCGUUUGCGUUUGCCACGGCCGCAGCUCGCCGGCCGCGCGCGAAGACCCGCUCCCCGACUUGCCAGUAACUCUGGUCUCCCCGGGCGCGAGGCCAGGCCGGCCGGUCCACGCGGGAUGCAGCGCCACCUGCUGGAAGCCGAGUGAUAGAGCCGCAGACGGGACUAGACCGCGGAGACCAAAAAGACCAGCGCUGGGUGCCCUGUUGGCUUCGGGGCGACAGCCAGGCCUGACUGGAAGGAGAACAAAAACAGUAGCAGAAAUACGCACCGUUUAUCCAAACCAAUCCUCCAGGCUACAUGCCAUCCUUUCCUCUCUGCGGAGUGUGGUGUGGUGUGUGUCCACGCGCCCCUGUCGGGAGCUAUAUCAUGGUUGGACAUUUGGGUGUGUCUGUCUGUGAUCUCCUUC